UACGAAGGGGGCUAGCGUUGUUCGGAAUCACUGGGCGUAAAGCGCACGUAGGCGGAUUUUUAAGUCAGGGGUGAAAUCCCGAGGCUCAACCUCGGAACUGCCUUUGAUACUGGGGAUCUGGAGUCCGGGAGAGGUGAGCGGAACUGCGAGUGUAGAGGUGAAAUUCGUAGAUAUUCGCAAGAACACCAGUGGCGAAGGCGGCUCACUGGCCCGGAACUGACGCUGAGGUGCGAAAGCGUGGGGAGCAAACAGG
Molecule: ribosomal RNA, 253 nt
Filed under: uncultured bacterium
Lineage: Bacteria
Description: partial 16S ribosomal RNA
Rfam family: Bacterial small subunit ribosomal RNA
Source: RNAcentral